UGAAUAUUAACUCUCUAUAUAAUAUACAAUUUGCAAAUAUUUUCUCCCAUUCACUUGGUUACCUUUUCAUUUUGUUGAUGGUUUCCUUCACUGUGGAAGAGCUUUUUACUUUGGGAUAGUCCUACCUGUUUAUUUUUGUUUUUGUUGCCUUUGCUUUUUGUGUCAAAUCCAAAAAUCAUUGGUAAGAUCAAUGUUCAGGAGCUUAUCCACUUUUUUCCCCUGGGAAUUUUAUAGUUUCAGGUUUCAACUUUAGUCUUUAAUCCAUUUUGAGUUAACUUUGGUGUAUGGUAUAAGAGUCUAGUUUCCUUCUUUUGCUUGAGGCUGUCCAGUUUUACCAUUUACUGAAGAGACAAUCCUUCCCCCAUUUUUGGCUCCUUUGUCCUUACUCUGGCCAUUUUUUUUUUGUUUUCUGACUGUUUUAUAAUUCCUUUGUUCCUUCUUUUUAUCUCUGCCUUUAUGAUUUGAUGAUUUUCUAUAGUGCUAUGCCUAGAUUUUCUUUUCUUUGUCUUUUGUGUAUCUAUUAUAGGUUUUUGGUUUGUGGUUACCGUGAAGCUUAUAUAAAACGUAUUUAUAAUAAUCUAUUUUAAGAUGAUACAUACUAAAGCCCUAUUUUUACUCUAUCCCCCCAUUUAAUGUUAUUUAUGUCACAGUUUAUAUCUUUCACUUUGUGUAUCUAUUAACAGAUUAUUGUAGUUAUAGUUAUUUUUGUAGUCUAGUUAUUUUUACCACUUUUUUUUUUUUUGGAUACUAGAGUUAUAAGUGAUUUACCCACCAUCACUAGAGAGUAUUCUGAAUUUGACUAUAUAUUUACAUUUACCAGUGAGAUACAUACUUUCAUAUAUUUUUAUGUUACUAAUUAGCACCCUUUUAUUUCAGCUUGAAAAAAACCCCUUUAGCACUUUUUUUUGUAAGGCCUGUUUAGUGGUGAUAAACUCCCUUAGCUUUUGCUUGUCUGGAAAACUCUUUUUCCUUUAAUUCUGAAGGACACCUUUUCUGGGUAAAAUAUUCUUGGAUAGCAGUGUUUUUCUUUCAGAACUUUGAAUAGAUUAUUCCAAUCCCUUAUGACCUGCAAAGUUUGUGUUGAAUAUCUUCUGAUAGUUACAUGGAGGUUCUCUUGCAUAUAACAAGUUGUUUUCUCUUGUUGGUUUUAAGACUAUCUCCUUUUCUUUAACUUUUUACGAUUUAAUUAUAAUGUGUCUUGGUGUGGGCCUAUUUGAAUUCAUCUUAUUUGUAAUUAUCUCUGAACUUCUUGGAUCUGGAUUUCUUUCCCCAGUUAAGGAAAGUUUUCAGCUAUUAUUUCUUUGAAUAAGCUUUUUGCCUCUUUCACUCGUCUCCCUUCUGGGACCUCUAUAAUGCAUGUAUUUGUCUACUUAUUGGUGUCCCAUAAAUCUCUUAAACUAUAUUCAUGGGUUAAGGAUCUGGCGUUGCCAUAAGCUGUGGUGUAGGUCGCAGAUGCGGCUCAGAUCCUGCAUUGCUGUGGCUCUGGCAUAGGUUGGCGGCUACAGCUCCGAUUUGACCCCUAGCCUGGGAACCUCCAUAUGCUGUGGGAGAGGCCCUAGAAAAGGCAGAAAGACAGAAAAAAAAAAAAAAAAAAAAAAAAAAAAAAA
Molecule: long non-coding RNA, 1607 nt
Filed under: Sus scrofa (pig)
Lineage: Eukaryota; Metazoa; Chordata; Mammalia; Artiodactyla; Suidae
Description: lncRNA (ENSSSCG00055011427.1)
Source: RNAcentral